CAGAAGAUAGUUUAAUAAAAAUGCUAGUUUUGGGGACUAGUGAUGAGGGGUUGAACCUUCUCUUUUGA
RNAcentral lists this transfer RNA (68 nucleotides) under Takydromus wolteri (mountain grass lizard). Its description in RNAcentral is "tRNA-Pro". It matches the Rfam family "tRNA". From Rfam's summary of the family: Transfer RNA (tRNA) molecules are approximately 80 nucleotides in length. Their secondary structure includes four short double-helical elements and three loops (D, anti-codon, and T loops). The record is from RNAcentral. Lineage: Eukaryota; Metazoa; Chordata; Lepidosauria; Squamata; Lacertidae.